AUGGCAGAGGAGAGGUGGGCCCCGCUCUUCCUCCGGCCGCGGCCACAGAGCUGGGGCCAGGCCCUUUCCCAGCUGGGUCCACAGCUAAAAAUACCUCGGAGGAGAGGAGAGAAGAGAGGAGAGGAGAGGCAGCUCCGCACCGGCCUCCGGCCUCGGUGGCUGCUUUGGGAUGGGUUAAUUAUACGUGUGGAGUGCCUCGGUUUGGGCGCUGCUAAGAAUAGCUGCCCCCCAGCCAGGCACGAGGAACCGGAGGGGGGCUUUCCACACCCCAACUGCCGCUGGGAUUUUCCACGAGCCUGCCCCAAAUCCCCCCGGAGAUGGAGCAUCGACACGGUUUUGGCCAUUGCGCCGUGCCAGGAGCCACCUCCCCAACCUUCCUGGGCAGCGUUGCUCUCCCCGCAUCCAUGCAACCCCACAGCAGGGUCUGAGGGGCCGGGGACCCCCCCAGUUCCCCAUCCCCACAGCACCUACCGCCCGCUCCCGGCAGGACGCCAAGCUGGAAUUGAGCUUCUUGCCCUCCUGGCGUGCUUGGGUGAGCUCCCGGCGCCGCGCAUCCUCUGCCCGUGCGCUCUCGGCCGCGGCGCGCUGCAGCCGGGCACGCUCCUGCUCCAGCUCAGCCAGGCGCAGCUCCAGCACCCGGCUCUCGUUGGCAGCCCGCUCCCGGCAGCCCCGCAGCAUCCCCAGAGCCUCCGAACGCCACAGCAGCACGGCCACCGAGACCGUCACCGCCGCCACCAGCACCAGCAGCCCCACGCUCAGCCCCAGCACCUUCAGCGUGGCUUUGGGCACCGCGGGGUCCAUGCCGGGGAGGGGGGAACGGGGACGCUCGUGGCCGCCUGGGGUGUGCCCGGGUUGCUCCGGGUGCUGCCCGUGGGUUUUUUUUCUGCCCAGCUCCGCUUUGGGCUGUGGUUUCUUGCAGGUCACAGCCCAUCACGGGCUUGGUUUGCGCAGCGCGUGGGAGGGUGCUCGGCCCCGGCCUCGGCCGUGGGUAAAUUCGGCCGGGACAAACCCACGCCGUGCCAGGAGGGGGCUGGCCUGAUGCUGGAGCAACAAAACACGUUGGGUUUUCAUGAGUUUUUAUUGGAAAAUAGCUCAAACCCACCUAACUGCGCAGUAUCUGUGAACCCCUUGCGUAAGAGCAGCCCCGGGGCAGUGCCAGGUCCAUGUUCUCGUGGCUCCGUGCUCAACGCAGCAGCGUCCCCACCAAGAGCAGAGCCAGGAGGACGAGGGGCACGGCCACGCCGGGGAACGUCGCGCUGGUGCCACUCGAAUGCCAGCUCUGUCCGGACCCGAUCCUUGCCAAAGCGUCCCAGAUCUGUGACUGGAGAUCUCUCCUGGGGGGGACAGAGAGAGUCAGGGGACAGCGCACGGGGCUGGGGCCACGGUGGGGGGGAGCAGGGGGGAGCAGGGGGUCUCACCUGUCCUUCUGCGCCUCCUCCAGCUGCUGCCGCUGCUGUUCCAGCUUCUCCUUGAUCUCCCUGUUGUCCUCUAAAGGGGGGGGUGAAAAAGGGUGAGGGUGAGGGAGCAGGGUGACAGGGGUGUCCCAGGGGGCAGGGACCGGGGUGUCCCCGGUGCUCACCUUGCAGCCGCCCCACGUUGGCCUCCUGCUCAUCCCCGUGGUGCUGCAGCUGGGCUAAACGCCGUGUCAGCUCCGAGACGCUGCUCUUCACCGUGUCCUGAGCGCGGGGACAGAAAGGGACAGGGGACACGGCCUCAGGCGCCAGCUCUUUUCCCCCCUCCCUGGGCUGGGAGCAGCACAAAGCAAACCCUGUGCCCGGGGGGGGGUCCCAGUAAGGGACGUCCCCCUCCCCAUUUCCCCAGCACCUACCAGCUCCUUUCUGCAGCUCUCCCACUGCCCCUGCGUCUCGGCGAGGGACCUGUUGGUGACAUCCAGCGCCUGGGCGAGGGACCUGUUGGUGACAGCCAGCACCUCGGCGAGGGACCUGUCGGUGGCGGCCAGCGCCUGCCCCAGCUUGGCCACCUUCACCUGCAGCUCCUCCAGCCCCUCCGAGCCCCCCGGCGGCCCCUGCGCGGAGACGAGGGCUGCGACCAGGGCCACCAAAACCAUCCCGAUGGCCAGCCCCACGCACACCCCCCAGCACUGCUUGUAGAGGAGGCGGCAGCGCAGGCAGCAGUUCUCCAUCCUGCCCCGUGCCGUGCUGCGAAUGCAGCGGCCACCCGAGCGCGCGCGCUGGGAGGGAUCUCCGAGCCCUGGUUUCGUUUCCCCACUAGCGGCACUUUUCAGGAAAUCCUACAAGUUUUGCAAGCGCAGCACAAGCAGAGGGGCACGUGGGGGGGAUGUCGCCUUCGGUAGGGGGUGGGAUGGCAGCAGGGGGUCCAGUGGGGUCGUUCCGGCACCCUCUGCCUGGGGUGGUUUUGGGGGGACCCCUCCCCCGUGCCCCAGUCUUAUGUUUUAGGGUUGUGGGCAGAGGUUUGGGGCUGUGGGGGUGGGGGGAGCCCCGUGCUCCCUGUG
This 2473-nucleotide long non-coding RNA is filed under the name Anas platyrhynchos platyrhynchos (common mallard). Its description in RNAcentral is "lncRNA (ENSAPLG00000020790.1)". The record is from RNAcentral. Lineage: Eukaryota; Metazoa; Chordata; Aves; Anseriformes; Anatidae.